UACGUAGGCAGCAAGCGUUGUUCGGAAUUACUGGGCGUAAAGAGUGUGUAGGCGGUGCUCCAAGUCUGGUGUGAAAUCUCCCGGCUUAACUGGGAGGGUGCAUUAGAAACUGGAAUGCUAGAGGAUGGGAGAGGUAAGCGGAAUUCCUGGUGUAGCGGUGAAAUGCGCAGAUAUCAGGAGGAACACCGAUGGCGAAGGCAGGUCUCUGGGCCGAACUACUGACGCUGGAGGCGCGAAAGCCUAGGGGAGCAAACAGG
Molecule: ribosomal RNA, 257 nt
Filed under: uncultured bacterium
Lineage: Bacteria
Description: partial 16S ribosomal RNA
Rfam family: Bacterial small subunit ribosomal RNA
Source: RNAcentral